UACAGAGGUGGCAAGCGUUGUUCGGAAUUACUGGGCGUAAACGGCGCGUAGGCGGCUCGAUCAGUCAGGGGUGAAAUCCCAGGGCUCAACCCUGGAACUGCCUUUGAUACUGUCGAUCUGGAGUAUGGAAGAGGUGAGUGGAAUUCCGAGUGUAGAGGUGAAAUGCGUAGAUAUCUGGAGGAACACCGGUGGCGAAGGCGGCGUUCUGGACUGCUACUGACACUGAGGAACGAAAGCCAGGGGAGCAAACGGG
This 253-nucleotide ribosomal RNA is filed under the name uncultured bacterium. RNAcentral's name for it is "partial 16S ribosomal RNA". It matches the Rfam family "Bacterial small subunit ribosomal RNA", at positions 524 to 776 of the family's 1533-position model. The record is from RNAcentral.